AAUAUUCUAGUCUUAUCGGUGGAUCACUCGGCUCGUGGAUCGAUGAAGAACGCAGCCAACUGCGAUACUUAGUGUGAACUGCAGAAACUUUGAACACAGAACUUUCGAAUGCACAUUGCGCCAUUGGAGUAAUAUCCUUUGCACGCCUGGUUCAGGGUCGUAA
Molecule: ribosomal RNA, 163 nt
Filed under: Cactodera milleri
Lineage: Eukaryota; Metazoa; Nematoda; Chromadorea; Rhabditida; Heteroderidae
Description: 5.8S ribosomal RNA
Rfam family: 5.8S ribosomal RNA
About the family: 5.8S ribosomal RNA (5.8S rRNA) is a component of the large subunit of the eukaryotic ribosome.
Source: RNAcentral